RNAcentral lists this transfer RNA (59 nucleotides) under Loxodonta africana (African savanna elephant). It matches the Rfam family "tRNA", at positions 7 to 64 of the family's 71-position model. Rfam says of the family: Transfer RNA (tRNA) molecules are approximately 80 nucleotides in length. Their secondary structure includes four short double-helical elements and three loops (D, anti-codon, and T loops). Further hydrogen bonds mediate the characteristic L-shaped molecular structure. tRNAs have two regions of fundamental functional importance: the anti-codon, which is responsible for specific mRNA codon recognition, and the 3' end, to which the tRNAs corresponding amino acid is attached (by aminoacyl-tRNA synthetases). tRNAs cope with the degeneracy of the genetic code in two manners: having more than one tRNA (with a specific anti-codon) for a particular amino acid; and 'wobble' base-pairing, i.e. permitting non-standard base-pairing at the 3rd anti-codon position. The record is from Rfam by way of RNAcentral. Lineage: Eukaryota; Metazoa; Chordata; Mammalia; Proboscidea; Elephantidae.
UUGGCCCAGUGGUUGAGCACUCAGCUGCUAACUGAAAAGUUGGUGGUUCGAACCCACCA